UCUAGCCCUCUCUGUCACUUUCCAUGCGUUGCCAUGGUAGUUUUCGGUUGAAGAGAGAGAUAGCAUGAAGUGCUCUAAACAACACGGCUUGAUGAACCGAGAUGAUUUUGAACAUUCUCAACUUUGUUCGGUUAGUUAGAAAUAUAUGUACAGCUACUGAACAGCUUUUCGUCGGGGAACAGGAAUAUUGUAUUCUCAGAUAUCAUAUCUUCGAAAAAAUCUUUCCUAAAAACCAUUGGCCUCCCAUUCAAGUUUCCAUUGCGCAGGCCGAUUUUACUAUGCUAGGGUUACACUCUUUCAUCAGGUCUCCUCUUCCUUUAGAUGAGUCUCCCUUUCGUCUCUUUAGAUGAGUUCAGGAUUAUUGUUCAAUGUUCAAUACACGAUAGGACCGAAGGCUAAAUCCAACUACGUGGUAUCAAUAAGUUUAGUAAGCCAUUAGAUGACCGGCAUGGCCUAGGAGGUCGAUAAGCCAAGAAAAAGAAGAAGAUUAUGCAAUGUAGUAUUUUUGACAAUAUUGCUAAAUUUAGCAGACAGUUGCAUGUGCAUGGGUAUCUUAAAUAAUGGCUGAUACUAACUGCUUGCUCUGCAGUAAGAGCAAGGGCGGCCUGGUUGUAUUGCUAGUAAGAGUUCUUGACAACCAAUGAAACAUACUUCCAUAGCGAGUGCGACGGGUAGAACAAGGCGGGUAGAGCCGAAUGGAUGGAGGUAUGUGAGAACAUAGAUAGGUAUGGAGGAGACUAAGGAUGGCACGCCAGUCUCACCAAGAAAUCGACUCACAACGAGCAGUGCUUACAUCUGAUUAUGCCUGCUUUCCGUGGUCUGUAGCUCCUCCAAUAAAAGAGCCUCAACAGAAUCUGGAUGAAAAUUAGUCGAGGUGUGCUACAGAGCUUUAAACCACAAUCGAUGCGCUAGCUCACAAGUUAAACGUUCCCUGUGUCGUUCCCUGUGUAGAAUACCAGGACAGAAAGGACAACCCGAAAGGUCAUAUCACCCAUACCCCGUGGGAAACAUGGUGUUGGGUUUCCGCGUAUACUCAAGCUCAGAUAUUUGGAGCGACAUGUUACUGUUCUGUACGCUGGGGACGUUUUGAGUCGUAGUUGGGUAUGGAUAGCCAUACUAUAAAGUUGCAGUUAACGAAGUGGAUUCCGACGAAGGAUUGACGCCGCGAAGACUGGUCGUGCCGGUUGUAGCGUUCGGAUCGGACGUAAAGCUUCUUCCUGGAUUCAUCAGAACCAGUUUCCCCAACGCUGGACCUCCGUUAGUUGCAAUUACGCUUCUUCGAAAGAUGGCCUGCUUGAUUAAGAUAAACUUGAAGGCCUUUUUCGUGGGUGCCAGGACAAGUUCCCAACGGUUAACUCUUACGAAUUGCGGGCCAUGACAGUGCUCCCCGAUCUGGGUUAUGUGGGAUUCACCGUGACACCAGGCCCGAGAAGCGGACUUGGCAACCGGUGGGACCUCACUAAACCACUCCUCGACCUGAUCCGACCCCUGCCGAUGCGCUGAAGUGCGAA
Long non-coding RNA from Anopheles stephensi (Asian malaria mosquito), 1511 nucleotides. RefSeq lists it as uncharacterized. The record is from RefSeq and is a predicted model, not a curated record. The transcript is spliced from 2 exons. Lineage: Eukaryota; Metazoa; Arthropoda; Insecta; Diptera; Culicidae.